RNAcentral lists this ribosomal RNA (486 nucleotides) under uncultured bacterium. RNAcentral describes it as "bacterial SSU rRNA". It matches the Rfam family "Bacterial small subunit ribosomal RNA", at positions 903 to 1397 of the family's 1533-position model. The record is from RNAcentral.
AAAUGAAUUGACGGGGGCCCGCACAAGCAGUGGAGUAUGUGGUUUAAUUCGAAGAUACGCGAAGAACCUUACCAGGUCUUGACAUCCCGAUGCAAAGCUAAGAGAUUAGCUCCUCUUCGGACAUUGGAGACAGGUGGUGCAUGGUUGUCGUCAGCUCGUGUCGUGAGAUGUUGGGUUAAGUCCCGCAACGAGCGCAACCCUUGUCAUUAGUUGCUACGCAAGAGCACUCUAAUGAGACCGCUACCGACAAGGUGGAGGAAGGUGGGGACGACGUCAAAUCAUCAUGCCCCUUAUGACCUGGGCUACACACGUACUACAAUGGCCGUUAACAACGGGAAGCGAAGCGGUGACGCGGAGCAAACCCCCAAAAACGGUCUCAGUUCGGAUCGCAGGCUGCAACCCGCCUGCGUGAAGUCGGAAUUGCUAGUAAUCGCGGAUCAGCAUGCCGCGGUGAAUACGUUCCCGGGCCUUGUACACACCGCCCGU